UUUUAAUAUGAUGAAUAUUCUAGGUAGAGAAUAUGGAUAGUAUUAUCAUUAUUAGUAUUACGUCAACAUUAACUCAACAAUUGUAUUGUUGACAUGAAGAAAAAGCUAUUUCGAGGUUGUUUUGACCAUUGAUUGCUAAUAACACCUGGCGCCGUGACCUGGAUGCAGAUUCUAAGCAGAUGAGCCAAAAUGGGGGCAGCUAGAGAGACUCGCCUGGAACUGACAAGCCUGGAGGGAGCUGGUUGACUGUUGGCGAGAUGGGACAACAGACGAAGAAUAAACGAACCUACUUGAUUUGAUAAACAUUUUUAUGUUUUUCAGUUUCGUCGGAAGACAUUUUCCACCAACCAUCCUGUCUUGAAAGAAAUAACUUUUGAACCCGAUUAUCUGGUAAUACUAUUUUUUUUACAUACAGUUAUUAGUGAAUUAUG
Long non-coding RNA from Dreissena polymorpha, 431 nucleotides. RefSeq lists it as uncharacterized. The record is from RefSeq and is a predicted model, not a curated record. Lineage: Eukaryota; Metazoa; Mollusca; Bivalvia; Myida; Dreissenidae. The transcript has 3 exons.